RNA transcript from Triticum aestivum (bread wheat), 4661 nucleotides. RefSeq lists it as uncharacterized. The record is from RefSeq and is a predicted model, not a curated record. Lineage: Eukaryota; Viridiplantae; Streptophyta; Magnoliopsida; Poales; Poaceae. The transcript has 7 exons.
CUGUUGGCGCAUCGUCUCCUUCUUCCAUCGAUCCCCUUCUUCCUCUCUAUACAGGAGGAUGUCUCCCAGCGCAGAUCAAUGCGCCGCCGCCACAGACCAGGUCUCCUUCCUCUUCUUCGAUCCAAGGCAAUCUCUUUCCUGUUCUUUAGUCCAAUCCUUCUAUUUCCUGAUCCAAUCCUUCUUUAACCUGAAACUGUCCGGGGCUCACCCGAUCUCCUCCACCAGCGUGGCCACCAUCCUGAUCCCCUCUUUCUUCUCUACCAUGAGCGCCUACUCAGCCGAGAUUCGCCCGCGAGGAGAGGCAGGGAGCAGCAGCACGCCCUGGGCAUCCCGUGAGCCCGCCUAAUCCCGCUGUUGCCCUCCGAGAUUCGCCGACCAUAAGCAGUUCCGCGUGCACGGCCAUGGAAAGACCUCCAAGCCGCCGCCGAUUCGUGUACUUCGAGGGCUGCCACCCACAACGAGGAACACGAGCGUGGUGCGUCGACGUGGCAAACCCGUUCUCCUUCCUCACUACCAUGUGCAGUUCGCCGAUGCCCGUCGCUAACCCAGUCCUUACGCGAACGACACAAUCUGGACCCUGGUACGCUGCCUUUGCCUAUGCUACAUAGUACAAUAUUGAUUGUAGAGCAGUGCUACAUGGAUGACCGUUUGCGCAAGAUUUUUAGACGACACAAAACUACAGCCGUUCAUCCCAUAUGUUUUGCAGGCAGCAGCUAUCGAUGGGAGCAUCGUGCAAAAAUAGUGUGUGAAACUAUCGUGUGCACAACAAUUCUGUUGGUUGUAUGAUCUAGAGUAGUUUCUUAGGUGGUGAUGUGCUACACUAGAUAUUACCUAAUGUUCUCCUGUGUACUCAGCUUGGGACUAGGCAGUAUGUUAUAGUGAAUUAAUAUACAGGUCGCACACACCUUGUGUUGGAUGCUUGAAAAAGCAAUGCAAAAUAGUCUUUGUAUUGUGACUCGUGAGUCAACACUUUUGGAUCCCAAAAUAUUCAGUUGAAGCGUGAGUGAUCAUCUGCAAGUCAGUAGGAAAUUUUAAUUUGAUGUUAGCACAAGUAUGUAUGGUGUCAGAUGGUUGAAAAGGAACUGGAGAUGGUCUUUGUGUCCUCAACUUUUGGCCCUUUAGUCAACACCCCUAAGCAUUUUUCUUGAAGGGCACAAGAACCUUAUUUUGGCCUAGAAGAGAUUUGCCAGACUGCUUGAUGAUUCUGCCACCUAAUAAACAAGUAAAUGGAUUUUGUAUCCUGAAAAUAGAGGAAAAUAAUAAACACCAAGAAGAUCUGAAUGGUGUUAUCCAUGCUUGCUUCUAAGUAGUGUAUGUUCAUUAGCACCACAAUUCAUGGAUUUAAGGGCUUCCAUCUUUCAUGUGUGCGUAUUUAAUGUUCUAGGCAGUCACUUCACAUAGCUGGUCGGGCUCUAAGCUUGCUCUGCUCGUUGUCGGUUACUCCUAAAUAUUGCAUUUUUAUCUACUUGGUGCUCUUCGAAGUAUGCUUAUUAUGUUUGUCGUUCUUUAUACAAGUAAGUUGAGGUAGAUAACAAAAGUUGAGGCAGAUAACAAGGGCUCAGAUUGGAAAAAAAUAUACGUUAUGAUGGUAAGAAAAAUAUUAGGAUUUUAGUUAGUGAAUGACUACAAACAUUAUAAGAUCUUGAUGAGAUGCUUGACAUGACCGGAACAGUUAACUAGACAUGUAUCAUGAGUACCGUGCUCAAAAUGUUUUACUCAUGCUUCCAUGGAUCUUGGUUAAGACUAAAGUUCGUAUGAACUAUGAACGUGUUUUGCAGAUCUAUUCGUCACUAAAUUUGUAUACAGACUAAUUUCUUCUCCCGUUGCAACGCACGCCAUAUUUGCUUUAGUAAAUAUAUAUAUGUAUGCUGUUCUUUGCUCUACUGGAGGCAAUUUUGUUCAGAGUGAUAUGAUUUGGAUCAGUUAUGUGAUGUUUCUGUUAUGCUUUUCGUCUCCUGCUCAAGAGAGAAAUUAUUAGAUAUUUCUACUGUUUAUUGGUACGGCCACUGAUUAUAUUUAUUGUUGCUAUCCAAUGCAGAUUAUCAUGAUUGUAUGAGAGAUUAAUACCAUUGUACCAUGUGUGCUAGCUAGAAACCGUAGGGUGAUGCUUGGUGUAUUCUUGUGUAGUUGUGUUUUCAUCGGAAAAACAAGGAUGUGGGUCAGACUCCAGUUCAUUGCGACUCCAUUAACGGAGUUUGACCACUCCGAAAAAGGUGAUGCUCUGUAUGCAAUGGAGUUUGGCUCUUGCUCUCGAAAAGAUGGUGAACAAGAAGCUGCCCAACCUGCACACUGUAAGUUUCUCCUUUAUUUUGCAAAUUAAAAAUUCUAAAAAAAAUAUUCCGAAUGAAAAAACAAAUUUUAGAAAAUAUCCAAAAUUUUGUUGCUAUUUCAUAAAAUAUUAGAACUUGCACAAAGUUUCCAAUUUUUCCAAAAAAAUGUCCGUGUAUAAAAGAUACACAUUUUCUAAAAAUCUUAUGAUUUUCAGCACAUGUCCGAUUUUGAAGUAAUGUUCAGAAAUCCAAAUAAUGUUCAUCUUUUUUAAAAAAUUAUGUUUUCAGAAAAUGUUUGUGAAUCUUAAAAGAUGUUCCCUACAUAUUUUAUUCGCGUUUUUCCAAAAGUGUACAUAAUUUUCAAAAAACUGUUCAGGAUUUAAAAUAUUGUUCAUGUUUGCUAGAAUAUUCAGAAACUUCAUACCUUAAAAUCCCGUCGAUUGAAAGGAAAAGUAGAUCGAUUAACUAAUGGGCCUUGUUUAGCGUACGAUGACAUAACAAAACUCUUAAAUGCCCUCAAUCAAUGCAUGGAAAAAUAGCGGAUUGCUUCCUUAACAACGGCGAAACUGAGAAGUUAAAUGUUUCUUUUUCGUUUGCACACAAAGUUUUACUUGUACAAAUAAUUCUCACUAACUUUAAAUAAAUGCAUAUUAUUUUAUUUUCCGUUGCAACGCACGGGCAUAUGUGCUAGUAAUAAUAAAACACGGAUUGACUCCGUGGGUUCACCGUCACAAUACGCUUCUUCUCGUGAAUUUACGUUUUUAGUUUUUUUUCACCUAUAUUAUUUUCUACAUCUGAGAUGAUACUAUUCAUGUGAUCAUCACGUGGCCCACCACGCCGACUAUUCCGUCCGACUCCGUCGGCUUCACCGUCGCGUCACUUUUUCGAGAAAGUCUAUGAUUUUGUGUAUUCAACCCGCGAUCCAAAAUAAUCUGCAAAAGGAAAAAACUGUUCGCUGGAAAAAUAUACAUGUACGCAUCUGCCUCCCUCCAGUCCUCCACGCCUGGCCGACCAAAUCCCCCGCCGCCGCCGAUGCACCACUCGCCGCCGUGGCCGGCCUCAACCUGCCCACCGCCGCGGCCGCACCUCUGUCCGCUCGCCGCACCCGCCGCGGCGCUCGAGCGCAGCUUCUGGAUCAGGUCAACGCGACGGCUCGAGCGGCUGGGGACGACGCGCCUGCUUGUUGCAGAACAGCGGCGGCGGGAUCCGGCUGGCUCGGGAGAAGGAGGGAUCCGGCACGGCCGUGCGAAGUCCUUCCAGGUGGAGGCAGGCCUCCAUGGCUGGCAGGGCGAGCUCCAAGGUCAUGGCGGGGCUUCGAUUUUUCUGAUAGAAAAGAGAGACGGAGGAGGAUCCAGGGAGGAGGAGAGGUAGCAGAAGAAGGACGGGGAACAAGGAAGGGUGCGGCAGGGGUGCAGCUGUGUGAGGGCACUGGUCUCGCGCGUGAGGAGCGCCUCUCCUCGGGAGGAUCGGAAGGGAGCGAGUCAAACUCAUAUCCACUUCAGAGCAAGGUGGGUCUACAACUGCUAAUUUAAAGGGAUUCGAUUGUCCCUCGUCUGAGCAUAAGCAUGAUAAAGUGCAGCAACUGACUUGGCUUAUUGUUUUGGAAAUCGCAACCGGUGCUCUCCUGCUUGUUUUUGUGAUUACUGGUGUCGUUACUGCCUACAGAAGCUGCAAUCUAAAGCCUUCUAUACGAAUAUCAUCAUGGAGCAGAUCAAAAAGUUGGAGCGCCGAGAUAACAGUACUGAUUGGCCAAUAACGUAAGCCCCACCAGUGAUGCGACGGGAGAGCUCUGACCUGUCCGUGGGAGUGGGAACGCAGAUCCGCGUCGCCAGCCUACACAAGGCCAUGGUCAAUGUGCCGACGCAUGGUUCAUCGUCCGUCUUCGCCAGUGUUAAAGAAAAUGGAUUUUUACCUGAAUAAAUUGCGUGUAUAGAUAUGUAGAGGAUGCACUCAACAAGCGGAUCUUUCAAGGUGACUUUUCAUGCGAUUUCUACUUCUAAAAAUUAGAAAAUACCUUCAGAUCAAAGCAGUGGAUUUGUAGAUUUUUGGGAAUUGGUGCUACUCCAUCUCCAUCCGGUCCUAGAUCAGAAGGUAAGGAUGUACUUGAGCAAUAUGAGAAGACCCAGUUCCAUCAUCUCAGAAGCCAGAAGUUAACCAUUUAAUAUCGUUGGUUCUAAAAUUUGUGUAAGAAAAUGUUUAUUCUGCUAUGAGCACCACGAUUACGUGUCAAUUGUAGCUUCUUAAUUGCUUAGAAUUAUUUUAUAUGUUUGAUUCCUUCGGUUCAUAUUUAUUAGACCACAAAAUAUUUUCAAGAUUUGUCCGUUUGAGGAUCAAACUUUGAACAUGUGAAUUGAUGUGGUAUCAAGCUAAGUCUGUUGAUACCUUGCUCCC